GUAGGGACAGCCACCGGGUUUCUCUCUUGCUCCGACGCGCGUCGCCAGGCAGCAUGACGCUCUUUCAGAUGGGCUAGCCUGGGGUCUGACGGACAGGUCUCCCCACCCGACUCCCCACCCCCAGACCCACAGGGCAGGAGGGAAUAAGAGUGCUUCCUCCCAGCGCUCCAAGACCGGGGCAGCCGCGGGUGACACCAGCUCCAGGAGGCAGAAGGGAAGAAUCCAAGGACUGGAGUUGGAAGAGAAGAGGAAAGACAGCAUUUCCAGCCAGGAAAUGGUGCAGUUAACCUGAGUGCACAUUCAAGACAUUAAUGACAGCCUGGUAUGAGCUUUGGCCGAAUCUGUUCAAGUUGUACAUUUGUCUAGACAAACUGAGCUUCUUUGCCAGCGCUGAAACAGCCACGAUCUACGUGCCCUACAUAGGUGCCUGUUGUACUGUCUCUCCUCGCUGAGCCUGGGCAGAAAGUCCAGAGAGGUAGGUCACCCAUCCCACAUCCUGCCCUGUGCCUCCUUCCAGGGCUGGGCUCAUCAAGUCACUCACCCUUUUGUCCCAUAAACAUGCAAUGGGUGUGUACUGUGCCCGAGAGACUGACCUGGCCCACAGGGAAUAUGUGGGCCUGCCCUCGAGUACACGGAUCUUCCCAGGACACGUGUGACCCUGACACAGUUGUGCACAAGGUGAGCACAAAAUUCUGUGUGCUGGAGGGAGAGAGGCCCAACAUCCAGCUGGAGCUUCUGGAAAGGUUCUGUAGGAGGAAAGCUCCCCAGAGGCUGUGGGGUUACCUCACUCUCCACCGGGUUGCAAACAUUUAUAGCUUUUUUAAUAGUGCCAAGGGAUUUCGUGAAGCUGGGCCUGGGAGGCGGAGGGAAGAAGGAUAUUCUGGGCAGGAGGAACUCCAUCUUGAAGGCCGAGAGGGGUCCCAAGGCUACGAGCAUCACGGGAGUGGACAGUAACCCAGUGCAAGAAGAGUAACAAUGGAGGGUUUAGUGGGAAGACCUCGCGGUGAAAUGGGAAAGAGGCCUUCACACCGGGCCUUGAGGUCUUGGCUCCUCUCCAGACACGUGUGGGCAGUCCAGCUGGUCAGGGGCUGUUAGAACAAGGGCUCACAGACUUGUGAAUUUUACACAUCACAAAAAAUUAUUUUAAAAAAAUGGAGGAGGAGGGAGCCGAUGUGGGGUUAACAACAUUUCAUUUUGCCCUGAAAGAGCAAGGAAACAAUUUCCAGGGCCACCAUUUCAUAAAAUAAAAGGCAUUUUUAAAUUUUUGAU
Odocoileus virginianus texanus is the source of this 1269-nucleotide non-coding RNA. NCBI's taxonomy places the organism in Eukaryota, Metazoa, Chordata, Mammalia, Artiodactyla, Cervidae. The record is from RefSeq and is a predicted model, not a curated record.